Molecule: ribosomal RNA, 439 nt
Filed under: uncultured bacterium
Lineage: Bacteria
Description: partial 16S ribosomal RNA
Rfam family: Bacterial small subunit ribosomal RNA
Source: RNAcentral
CUACGGGCCGCAGCAGUGGGGAAUAUUGGACAAUGGGCGCAAGCCUGAUCCAGCCAUGCCGCGUGAGUGAUGAAGGCCCUAGGGUUGUAAAGCUCUUUCGCCGGUGAAGAUAAUGACGGUAACCGGUAAAGAAGCCCCGGCUAACUUCGUGCCAGCAGCCGCGGUAAUACGAAGGGGGCUAGCGUUGUUCGGAAUUACUGGGCGUAAAGCGCACGUAGGCGGACAUUUAAGUCAGGGGUGAAAUCCCGGGGCUCAACCCCGGAACUGCCUUUGAUACUGGAUGUCUUGAGUCCGGAAGAGGUGAGUGGAAUUGCGAGUGUAGAGGUGAAAUUCGUAGAUAUUCGCAGGAACACCAGUGGCGAAGGCGGCUCACUGGUCCGGUACUGACGCUGAGGUGCGAAAGCGUGGGGAGCAAACAGGAUUAGAUACCCGCGUAGUC